Molecule: ribosomal RNA, 484 nt
Filed under: uncultured bacterium
Lineage: Bacteria
Description: partial 16S ribosomal RNA
Rfam family: Bacterial small subunit ribosomal RNA
Source: RNAcentral
AUUGAACGCUGGCGGCAGGCCUAACACAUGCAAGUCGAGCGGAUGAAGGGAGCUUGCUCCUGGAUUCAGCGGCGGACGGGUGAGUAAUGCCUAGGAAUCUGCCUGGUAGAGGGGGAUAACGUCCGGAAACGGGCGCUAAUACCGCAUACGUCCUGAGGGAGAAAGUGGGGGAUCUUCGGACCUCACGCUAUCAGAUGAGCCUAGGUCGGAUUAGCUAGUUGGUGGGGUAAAGGCCUACCAAGGCGACGAUCCGUAACUGGUCUGAGAGGAUGAUCAGUCACACUGGAACUGAGACACGGUCCAGACUCCUACGGGAGGCAGCAGUGGGGAAUAUUGGACAAUGGGCGAAAGCCUGAUCCAGCCAUGCCGCGUGUGUGAAGAAGGUCUUCGGAUUGUAAAGCACUUUAAGUUGGGAGGAAGGGCAGUAAGUUAAUACCUUGCUGUUUUGACGGUACCAACAGAAUAAGCACCGGCUAACUUCGUG